This 253-nucleotide ribosomal RNA is filed under the name uncultured bacterium. RNAcentral's name for it is "partial 16S ribosomal RNA". It matches the Rfam family "Bacterial small subunit ribosomal RNA", at positions 524 to 776 of the family's 1533-position model. The record is from RNAcentral.
UACAGAGGUCUCAAGCGUUGUUCGGAUUCAUUGGGCGUAAAGGGUGCGUAGGCGGCGCGGUAAGUCGGGUGUGAAAGCCCUCGGCUCAACCGAGGAAUUGCGCUCAAUACUGCCGAGCUCGAGAGAGACAGAGGUAAGCGGAACUAAUGGUGGAGCGGUGAAAUGCGUUGAUAUCAUUAGGAACACCGGUGGCGAAGGCGGCUUACUGGGUCUUUUCUGACGCUGAGGCACGAAAGCCAGGGGAGCGAACGGG